RNAcentral lists this ribosomal RNA (149 nucleotides) under uncultured marine group II euryarchaeote 37F11. The record is from RNAcentral. Lineage: Archaea; Methanobacteriati; Thermoplasmatota; Candidatus Poseidoniia; Candidatus Poseidoniales.
GCACAGUGACCGCCGUUCCCGUGGACUCUCGUACCACAGUAUUGGGACAGACGCAGGAGGGCUUGACUUCCGGGUUCGGGAUGAGACCGGGUAAACUCCACCGCUAUGACCGUGCACCCAUCUCCUUUCGAAUCGGAUAUGGACGCGAC